UGCGUAGGCGGAUUAAUAAGUCAGUGGUGAAAGCCUCUCGCUCAACGGGAGAACUGCCAUUGAUACUGUUAAUCUUGAGUAUGGUUGAGGUGGGCGGAAUGUGUCAUGUAGCGGUGAAAUGCUUAGAUAUGACACAGAACACCAAUUGCGAAGGCAGCUCGCUAAGCCAUAACUGACGCUGAGGCACGAAAGCGUGGGGAGCAAACAGGAUUAAUACCCCUGGUAGUCC
This 229-nucleotide ribosomal RNA is filed under the name uncultured bacterium. RNAcentral's name for it is "partial 16S ribosomal RNA". It matches the Rfam family "Bacterial small subunit ribosomal RNA", at positions 568 to 796 of the family's 1533-position model. The record is from RNAcentral.